RNAcentral lists this ribosomal RNA (450 nucleotides) under uncultured bacterium. RNAcentral's name for it is "partial 16S ribosomal RNA". It matches the Rfam family "Bacterial small subunit ribosomal RNA", at positions 354 to 796 of the family's 1533-position model. The record is from RNAcentral.
GUGGGGAAUUUUGGACAAUGGGCGCAAGCCUGAUCCAGCAAUGCCGCGUGCAGGAAGAAGGCCUUCGGGUUGUAAACUGCUUUUGUACGGAACGAAACGGUCCGGGUUAAUACCCUGGGCUAAUGACGGUACCGUAAGAAUAAGCACCGGCUAACUACGUGCCAGCAGCCGCGGUAAUACGUAGGGUGCAAGCGUUAAUCGGAAUUACUGGGCGUAAAGCGUGCGCAGGCGGUUUUGUAAGACAGGCGUGAAAUCCCCGGGCUCAACCUGGGAACUGCCUCCAAAACUGCAUGACUAGAGUACGGUAGAGGGUAGUGGAAUUUCCUGUGUAGCGGUGAAAUGCGUAGAUAUGCGGAGGAACACCGAUGGCGAAGGCAAUCCCCUGGGCCUGCACUGACGCUCAUGCACGAAAGCGUGGGGAGCAAACAGGAUUAGAAACCCCAGUAGUCC